UGCCCGAGAAUCGACCGUCGGUAUCCCAAUACCUUGUUCAGUCUCGUUACCGGCAAGUCACUUUACUCGUACCGUAAUGCAUGAUCCCGUGGCCAACACCUUGGUCACAUUGAGCUCAUUAUGAUGAUGCAUUACCGAGUGGGCCCAGAGAUACCUCUCCGUCAUACGGAGUGACAAAUCCCAGUCUCGAUCCGUGUCAACCCAACAGAUACUUUCGAAGAUACCUGUAAUGCACCUUUAUAGUCACCCAGUUACGUUGUGACGUUUGAUACACCCAAGGCAUUCCUACGGUAUCCGGGAGUUACACGAUCUCAUGGUCGAAGGAAGAGAUACUUGACAUUGGCAAAGCUCUAGCAAACGAACUACACGAUCUUUGUGCUAUGCUUAUGAUUGGGUCUUGUCCAUCACAUCAUUCUCCUAAUGAUGUGAUCCCGUUAUCAACGACAUCCAAUGUCCAUAGUCAGGAAACCAUGACUAUCUGUUGAUCACAACGAGCUAGUCAACUAGAGGCUCACUAGGGACAUAUUGUGGUCUUAUGUGUUCACACGUGUAUUACGAUUUCUGGAUAAUACAGUUAUAGCAUGAACAAAAGACAAUUAUCAUGAACAAUGAAAUAUAAUAAUACUUUUAUUAUUGCCUCUAGGGCAUAUUUCCAACAGUCUCCCACUUGCACUAGAGUCACCAAUCUAGUUACAUUGUGAUGAAUCGAACACCCAUAGAGUUCUGGUGUUGAUCAUGUUUUGCUCGCGAGAGAGGUUUAGUCAACGGAUCUGCGACAUUCAGAUCCGUGUGUACUUUGCAAAUCUCUAUGUCUCCAUCUUGAACAUUUUCACGGAUGGAGUUGAAACGACGCUUGAUGUGCCUGGUCUUCUUGUGAAACCUGGGAUCCUUAGCAAGGGCAAUAGCUCCAGUGUUGUCACAGAAGAGUUUGAUCGGCCCCGACGCAUUGGGUAUGACUCCUAGGUCGGUGAUGAACUCCUUCACCCAAAUCGCUUCAUGCGCUGCCUCCGAGGCUGCCAUGUACUCCGCUUCACACGUAGAUCCCGCCACGACGCUCUGCUUGCAGCUGCACCAGCUUACUGCUCCACCAUUCAACAUAUACACGUAUCCGGUUUGUGACUUAGAGUCAUCCAGAUCUGAGUCGAAGCUAGCGUCGACGUAACCCUUUACGACGAGCUCUUCGUCUCCUCCAUAAACGAGAAACAUGUCCUUUGUCCUUUUCAGGUACUUCAGGAUAUUCUUGACCGCUGUCCAGUGUUCCUUGCCGGAAUUACUUUGGUAUCUUGCUACCAAACUUACGGCAAGGUUUACAUCGGGUCUGGUACACAGCAUGGCAUACAUAAUAGAUCCUAUGGCUGAAGCAUAGGGGAUGACACUCAUCUCUUCUUUAUCUUUUGCCGUGGUCGGUGACUGAGCCGAGCUCAAUCUCACACCUUGUAACAUAGGCAAGAACCCCUUCUUGGACUGAUCCAUUUUGAACCUUUUCAAAAUCUUAUCAAGGUAUGUGCUUUGUGAAAGACCUAUGAGGCGUCUCGAUCUAUCUCUAUAGAUCUUGAUGCCUAAUAUAUAAGCAGCUUCUCCAAGGUCCUUCAUCGAAAAACACUUAUUCAAGUAGGCCUUAAUGCUGUCCAGAAGCUCUAUAUUAUUUCCCAUCAAGAGUAUGUCAUCUACAUAUAAUAUGAGAAAUGCUACAGAGCUCCCACUCACUUUCUUGUAAACGCAGGCUUCUCCAUAAGUCUGCAUAAACCCAAACGCUUUGAUCAUCUCAUCAAAGCGAAUGUUCCAACUCCGAGAUGCUUGCACCAGUCCAUAAAGGGAUCGCUGGAGCUUGCAUACUUUGUUAGCGUUCUUAGGAUCGACAAAACCUUCCGGCUGCAUCAUAUACAGCUCUUCCUUAAGAUGUCCGUUAAGGAAUGCCGUUUUGACGUCCAUCUGCCAUAUCUCAUAAUCAUAGUAUGCGGCAAUUGCUAACAUGAUUCGGACGGACUUCAGCUUUGCUACGGGAGAGAAUGUCUCGUCGUAGUCAAUCCCUUGAACUUGUCGAUAAUCCUUAGCGACAAGUCUAGCCUUAUAGAUGGUAACAUUACCAUCCGCGUCCGUCUUCUUCUUAAAAAUCCAUUUGUUUUCUAUCGCUCGCCGAUCAUCGGGCAAGUUUGUCAAAGUCCAUACUUUGUUUUCAUACAUGGAUUCUAUCUCGGACUUCAUGGCUUCAAGCCAUUUGUUGGAAUCUGGGCCGGCAUCGCUUCUUCAUAGUUCGAAGGUUCAUCGUUGUCUAACAACAUGAUUUCCAGGACAGGGUUGCCGUACCACUCUGGUGCGGAACGUGUCCUUGUGGACCUACGAAGUUCAGUAGCAACUUGAUCCGAAGUACCUUGAUCAUCAUCAUUGUUUUCCUCUUCAGUAGGUGUGGGUAUCACAGGAACGGUCUCCUGCGCUGCACCACUUUCCCGUUCAAGAGGUAGUACUUCAUCGAGUUCUACUUUCCUCCCACUUACUUCUUUCGAGAGAAACUCUUUUUCCAGAAAGCAUCCAUUCUUGGCAACAAAGAUCUUGCCCUCGGAUCUUAAGUAGAAGGUAUACCCGACAGUUUCCUUAGGGUAUCCUAUGAAUACGCAUUUUUCCGACUUGGGUUCGAGCUUUUCAGGUUGAAGUUUCUUGACAUAAGCAUCGCAUCCCCAAACUUUUAGAAACGACAGCUUAGGUUUCUUCCCAAACCAUAAUUCAUACGGUGUCGUCUCAACGGAUUUAGACGGUGCCCUAUUUAAAGUGAAUGUAGCUGUCUCUAGAGCGUAUCCCCCAAAAGAUAGCGGUAAAUCGGUAAGAGACAUCAUAGAUUGCUCCAUAUCCAAUAGAGUGCGAUUACGACGUUCGGACACACCGUUUCGCUGAGGUGUUCCAGGCGGCGUGAGUUGUGAAACGAUUCCACAUUUCCUUAAGUGUGUACCAAAUUUGUGACUUAAGUAUUCUCCUCCACGAUCUGAUCGUAGGAACUUUAUCUUUCGGUCACGUUGAUUCUCUACCUCACUCUGAAAUUCCUUGAACUUUUCAAAGGUCUCAGACUUGUGUUUCAUUAAGUACAUACCCAUAUCUACUUAAGUCAUCAGUGAGGGUGAGAACAUAACGAUAUCCUCCGCGAGCCUCAACGCUCAUUGGACCGCACACAUCGGUUUGUAUGAUUUCCAACAAGUUGGUUGCUCGCUCCAUUGUUCCGGAGAACGGAGUCUUGGUCAUUUUGCCCAUGAGGCAUGGUUCGCAUGUGUCAAACGAUUCAUAAUCAAGAGACUCUAAAAGUCCAUCAGCAUGGAGCUUCUUCAUGCGCUUGACACCAAUGUGACCAAGGCGGCAGUGCCACAAGUAUGUGGGACUAUCGUUAUCAACUUUACAUCUUUUGGCAUCCACACUAUGAACAUGUGUAAUAUUACGCUCGAGAUUCAUUAAGAAUAAACCAUUGACCAUCGGAGCAUGACCAUAAAACAUAUCUCUCAUAUAAAUCGAACAACCAUUAUUCUCGGACUUAAAUGAGUAGCCAUCUCGUAUUAAAGGAGAUCCAGAUACAAUGUUCAUGCCCAAACUUGGCACUAAAUAACAAUUAUUAAGGUUCAAAACUAAUCCCGUAGGUAAAUGUAGAGGCAGCGUGCCGACGGCGAUCACAUCGACUCUGGAACCAUUCCCGACGCGCAUCGUCACCUCGUCCUUCGCCAGUCUCUGUUUAUUCCGCUGCUCCUGCUGUGAGUUACAAAUAUGAGCAACGGCACCGGUAUCAAAUACCCAGGAGUUACUACGAGUACUGGUAAGGUACACAUCAAUUACAUGUAUAUCAAAUAUACCUUUGGUGUUGCCGGCCUUCUUAUCCGCUAAGUAUUUGGGGCAGUUCCGCUUCCAGUGACCCUUCCCCUUGCAAUAAAAGCAGUCAGUCUUAGGCUUGGGUCCAUUCUUUGACUUCUUCCCGGCAACAGGCUUACCGGGCGCGACAACAUCUUUGUCGUCCUUCUUGAAGUUCUUCUUCCCCUUGCCCUUCUUGAACUUAGUGGUCUUAUUGACCAUCAACACUUGAUGUUCUUUCUUGAUUUCAGCCUUUGCUGACUUCAGCAUCGAGAACACUUCAGGAAUGGUCUUCACCAUCCCCUGCAUGUUGUAGUUCAUCACAAAGCUCUUGUAGCUUGGUGGGAGCGACUGGAGGAUUCUGUCAAUGACCGCCUCAUCUGGGAGGUUAAUGUUCAGCUGGGUCAUACGGUUGUGCAACCCAGACAUCCUUAGGAUGUGCUCACUGAUAGAACUGUUUUCCUCCAUCUUACAACUGUAGAACUUGUCGGAGACAUCAUAUCUCUCGACCCGGGCAUGAGCUUGGAAAACAAGUUUCAGCUCUUCGAACAUCUCAUAUGCUCCGUGAUGCUCAAAACGCUUUUGGAGCCCCGGUUCUAAGCUGUAAAGCAUGCCGCACUGAACGAGGGAGUAAUCAUCAGCACGUGUCUGCCAAACAUUCAAAUCGUCUUGCAGUGCUGGGAGAGCAGGUGGGUCAUCUAACGGUGCUUCUAGGACAUAUUGUUUCUUGGCAGCUAUGAGGAUGAUCCUCAGGUUCCGGACCCAGUCCGUAUAGUUGCUGCCAUCAUCUUUCAGCUUGGUUUUCUCUAGGAACGCGUUGAAGUUCAUGUUGACAUGAGCGUUGGCCAUUUGAUCUACAAGACAUAUUUGCAAAGGUUUUAGACUAAGUUCAUGAUAAUAAAGUUCUAAUCAAAUUAUGAACUCCCACUUAGAUUAGACAUCCCUCUAGUCAUCUAAGUGUUACACGAUCCGAGUCGACUAGCCCGUGUCCGAUCAUCAUGUGAGACGGACUAGUCAUCGUCGGUGAACAUCUUCAUGUUGAUCGUAUCUUCCAUACGACUCGUGUUCGACCUUUCGGUCUCCGUGUUCCGAGGCCAUGUCUGCACAUGCUAGGCUCGUCAAGUUAACCCUAAGUGUUUUCGUUGUGUAAAAUUGGCUUACACCCGUUGUAUGUGAACGUAAGAAUCCAUCACACCCGAUCAUCACGUGGUGCUUAGAAGCGACGAACUGUAGCAACGGUGCACAGUUAGGGGAGAACACUUCUUGAAAUUUUGUAAGGGAUCAUCUUAUUUACUACCGUCGUCCUAAGUAAACAAGAUGCAUAAACAUAAUAAACAUCACAUGCAAUUAUAUAGUUGUGACAUGAUAUGGCCAAUACCAUAUAGCUCCAUUGAUCUCCAUCUUCGGGGCUCCAUGAUCAUCUUGUCACCGGCUUGACACCAUGAUCUCCAUCAUCAUGAUCUCCAUCAUCGUGUCUUCAUGAAGUUGUCACGCCAACGACUACUUCUACUUCUAUGGCUAACGCGUUUAGCAAUAAAGUAAAGUAGUUUACAUGGCGUUCUUCAAUGACACGCAGGUCAUACAAAAAAUAAAGACAACUCCUAUGGCUCCUGCCGGUUGUCAUACUCAUCGACAUGCAAGUCGUGAAUCCUAUUACAAGAACAUGAUCUCAUACAUCACAAUUCAUCAUUCAUCACAACUUCUGGCCAUAUCACAUCACAUGAUCAAUCACUGCAAAAACAAGUUAGACGUCCUCUAAUUUGUUGUUGCAUCUUUUACGUGGCUGCGAUUGGGUUCUAGCAAGAACGUUUUCUUACCUACGAAUAACCACAACAUGAUUUUGUCAACUUCUAUUUACCCUUCAUAAGGGCCCUGUUCAUCGAAUCCGCUUCAACUAAAGUGGGAGAGACAGACACCCGCCAGCCACCUUAUGCAACUAGUGCAUGUCAAUCGGUGGAACCGGUCUCACGUAAGCGUAUGUGUAAGGUUGGUCCGGGCCGCUUCAUCCCACAAUACCGUUGAAGCAAGAAAAGACUAGUAGAGGCAAGUAAGUUGACAAGAUCCACGCCCACAACAAAUUGUGUUCUACUCGUGCAUUAGAGAACUACGCAUAGACCUAGCUCAUGAUGCCACUGUUGGGGAACGUUGCAGAAAAUUAAAAUUUUUCCUACGGUUUCACCAAGAUCCAUCUAUGAGUUCAUCUAAGCAACGAGUCAUGGGAGAGAGUUUGCAUCUACAUACCACUUGUAGAUCACGUGCGGAAGCUUGCAAGAGGAUGGUGAUGAUGGAGUCGUACUCGACGUGAUUCGAAUCACCGAUGUCCAAGUGCUGAACGGACAGCACCUCCGCGUUCAACACACGUACGGGACGGGAGACGUCUCCUCCUUCUUGAUCCAGCAAGGGGGAAGGAGAGGUUGAGGAAGCUCGCUCCAACGGCAGCACGACGGCGUGGUGGUGUUGGUGCAACAGUACUCCGACAGGGCUUCACCAAGCGCUUACGGAGGAGGAGAGGUGUUGGGGAGGGGAGGGGCUGCGCCUUGGAGAUGGGUACAGCAGCCCUCCCCCCACCCCUCUAUUUAUAGGGGAAGGGGCAAGGGGGGCCGGCCCCUCUAGAUGGGAUCUAGAGGGGGGCGGCGGCCAGGGAGGGGAGGCUUGCCCCCCAAGCAAGGGGGGCGCCCCCCUCAGGGUUUCCCCCCCAACCCUAGGCGCAUGGGCCCAAGGUGGGGGGCGCGCCCAGCCCUCCAGGGGCUGGCUGCCUCCCCUUUGCGGCCCAAGUGGCCCUCCGGGAGAGGUGGCCCCUCCCGGUGGACCCCCGGAACCCCUCCGGUGGUCCCGAUACAUUACCGAUAGACCCCCAAAACUUUCCGGUGUCCGUAUGACAACUUCCCAUAUAUAAAACUUCACCUCCGGACCAUUCUGGAACUCCUCGUGACGUCCGGGAUCUCAUCCGGGACUCCGAACAACAUUCGAUAGUCACAUACUAGUCUUCCUAAUAACCCUAGCGUCACCGAACCUUAAGUGUGUAGACCCUACGGGCUCGGGAGACACGCAGACAUGACCGAGACGACUCUCGGGCAAUAACCAACAGCGGGAUCUGGAUACCCAUGUUGGCUCCCACAUGCCCCUCAAUGAUUUCAUCGGUUGAACCACGAUGUCGAGGAUUCGAUCAAAACCCUGUAUGCAAUUCCCUUUGUCAAUCGGUACGUUACUUGCCCGAGACUCGAUCGUCGAUAUCCCAAUACCUUGUUCAGUCUCGUUACCGGCAAGUCACUUUACUCGUACCGUAAUGCAUGAUCCCGUGGCCAACACCUUGGUCACAUUGAGCUCAUUAUGAUGAUGCAUUACCGAGUGGGCCCAGAGAUACCUCUCCGUCAUACGGAGUGACAAAUCCCAGUCUCGAUCCGUGUCAACCCAACAGAUACUUUCGGAGAUACCUGUAAUGCACCUUUAUAGUCACCCAGUUACGUUGUGACGUUUGAUACAC
Molecule: long non-coding RNA, 7306 nt
Filed under: Triticum aestivum (bread wheat)
Lineage: Eukaryota; Viridiplantae; Streptophyta; Magnoliopsida; Poales; Poaceae
Description: long non-coding RNA (TAES_LNC027478)
Source: RNAcentral